AGAAAGUGGCAGAGUGUUAUGCAGCUGGCUUGAAACUAGCUUAUUGGGGUUCGAUUCCCUUCUUUCUC
This 68-nucleotide transfer RNA is filed under the name Oreoglanis macroptera. RNAcentral's name for it is "tRNA-Ser". It matches the Rfam family "tRNA". From Rfam's summary of the family: Transfer RNA (tRNA) molecules are approximately 80 nucleotides in length. Their secondary structure includes four short double-helical elements and three loops (D, anti-codon, and T loops). Further hydrogen bonds mediate the characteristic L-shaped molecular structure. tRNAs have two regions of fundamental functional importance: the anti-codon, which is responsible for specific mRNA codon recognition, and the 3' end, to which the tRNAs corresponding amino acid is attached (by aminoacyl-tRNA synthetases). tRNAs cope with the degeneracy of the genetic code in two manners: having more than one tRNA (with a specific anti-codon) for a particular amino acid; and 'wobble' base-pairing, i.e. permitting non-standard base-pairing at the 3rd anti-codon position. The record is from RNAcentral. Lineage: Eukaryota; Metazoa; Chordata; Actinopteri; Siluriformes; Sisoridae.